UAUACCCAUUAUAAGAUAAUCAUUUGAAUUUGAUUUUUUUUCUUUUUCUGCUACUCGGGCGAGACGCAUAUGCACACACUUUUUUUUAUAUGAGUACGUGUUUAUAUUUUUUUUGUACUCGUACACACAUGUAUAUGUAAAAUGAGCAUACACACACUUUCUGUAAACUAGUACACACAUGUACUGAUGCACAUACGUUCUGUUAACAAAUACACGUGCAUGUACGUACUUUCUAUAAAUGAGUACACACCCGACUACUAGUGGCAGAGGUCCAGCUAUUGACGAUGAGACGGAUAGAUUUUG
RNAcentral lists this long non-coding RNA (303 nucleotides) under Linum usitatissimum (flax). RNAcentral's name for it is "long non-coding RNA (LUSI_LNC004484)". The record is from RNAcentral. Lineage: Eukaryota; Viridiplantae; Streptophyta; Magnoliopsida; Malpighiales; Linaceae.